RNAcentral lists this transfer RNA (54 nucleotides) under Urochloa decumbens. RNAcentral's name for it is "tRNA-Met". The record is from RNAcentral. Lineage: Eukaryota; Viridiplantae; Streptophyta; Magnoliopsida; Poales; Poaceae. RNAcentral also lists the same sequence under 1 other name.
GUAGAGCAAUUUGGUAGCUCACAAAGCUCAUAAUCUUGGGGUUACGGGUUCGAU